Molecule: ribosomal RNA, 769 nt
Filed under: Chaetoceros socialis
Lineage: Eukaryota; Bacillariophyta; Thalassiosirophyceae; Chaetocerotales; Chaetocerotaceae
Description: eukaryotic LSU rRNA
Rfam family: Eukaryotic large subunit ribosomal RNA
Source: RNAcentral
UAUGAUUCCCUCAGUAAGGGCGACUGAAGCGGGAAGAGCUCAUUCUGUGAAUCUGUAUACUAUUUUUGGUAUACCGAGUUGUGGAAUAUAGAAGCACAUCAGUUCGAGUUCUGGUCUAAGUCUCUUGGAAAAGAGCAGCUUAGAGGGUGACACUCCCGUUCUUGGCUAGAACUCAAACUUUAGCAUGUGGUUUCGACGAGUCGAGUUGCUUGGGAUUGCAGCUCAAAGUUGGUGGUAAAUUCCAUCUAAAGCUAAAUAUCGGUGGGAGACCGAUAGCGUACAAGUACCGUGAGGGAAAGAUGCAAAGAACUUUGAAAAAAGAGUUAAAGAGUACCUGAAAUUGCUGAAAUGGAAGCGAAGGAAACCAGUGCCGUUCUAUACCAUUUUUCUGUUCUUGCUUGCGAGAAUAGCGCUGUGGUUUAGUACAGGCCAGCGUGAGUUUGAGCCGAAGGAAGCAGCUUUGCAGGAGGCAGCACAAUUUCUGUGCGAUUACUGCUUAGUUUUGCUUCGGCUUGGACUGAGGCUAGUCACUUGUGCUCGUGACGCUGGCGAAAUGGUUUUCUUUACCCCGUCUUGAAACACGGACCAAGGAGUCUAACAUAUGUGCGAGUAUAUGAGUGACAAACUCACGUGCGAAAUGAAAGUAACAGUGGUUGGACCUUUUGGGGCACAAUCCGCCGGCCACAAUCCUUCGGGAGAAAGGUCUGAGUGUGAGCAUACAUGUUGGGACCCGAAAGAUGGUGAACUAUGCCUGAAUAGGGUGAAGCCG